AUAUUGGGCGUAAGCGUCCGCAGGCGGCUAGAUAAGUCUGCUUUCAAAGAGUGGGGCUCAACCCCAUAAAGGGAGUGGAAACUGUUUAGCUAGAGUAUGGUAGGGGCAGAGGGAAUUCCCAGUGUAGCGGUGAAAUGCGUAGAUAUUGGGAAGAACACCAGUGGCGAAGGCGCUCUGCUGGACCGAGACUGACGCUGAGGGACGAAAGCUAGGGGAGCGAAAGGGAUUAGAUACCCCUGUAGUCCUAGCUGUAAACGAUGGACACUAGGUGUUGCGCGUAUCGACCCGUGCAGUGCCGUAGCUAACGCGUUAAGUGUCCCGCCUGGGGAGUACGCACGCAAGUGUGAAACUCAAAGGAAUUGACGGGGGCCCGCACAAGCGGUGGAGUAUGUGGUUUAAUUCGAUGCAACGCGAAGAACCUUACCAGGGUUUGACAUCCCUCGAAUCUCUGUGAAAGCGGAGAGUGCCUUCGGGAGCGAGGAGACAGGUGGUGCAUGGCUGUCGUCAGCUCGUGUCGUGAGAUGUUGGGUUAAGUCCCGCAACGAGCGCAACCCACGUUUUCAGUUGCCAGCAUUAAGUUGGGGACUCUGGAGAGACUGCCGGUGACAAACCGGAGGAAGGUGUGGACGACGUCAAGUCAUCAUGCCCCUUACAUCCUGGGCUACACACGUACUACAAUGGUUAGGACAAAGGGCAGCGAAGCCGCGAGGUGGAGCAAAACUCAUAAACCUAGCCUCAGUUCAGAUUGCAGGCUGCAACUCGCCUGCAUGAAGGAGGAAUCGCUAGUAAUCGCAGGUCAGCAUACUGCGGUGAAUACGUUCCCGGGCCUUGUACACACCGCCCGUCACACCAUGGGAGUUGGCCACGCCCGAAGUCGUUACCCUAACCGUUCGCGGAGGGGAC
This 903-nucleotide ribosomal RNA is filed under the name Limnothrix sp. BTA 199. RNAcentral's name for it is "bacterial SSU rRNA". It matches the Rfam family "Bacterial small subunit ribosomal RNA", at positions 551 to 1454 of the family's 1533-position model. Lineage: Bacteria; Bacillati; Cyanobacteriota; Cyanophyceae; Pseudanabaenales; Pseudanabaenaceae. The record is from RNAcentral.